AAAUAAUUUAUAAAUAUAUUUGAUUAAUAUUGAGUUUUCUUUUGUCAUGUUGUUAUAUUUACUAUGACCAAGUAUUAGUUAUUUUUGUGUUAACUUUACAUUUUCAACAUGUCUUGCUGUCCAUUAUUAUUAUUAUUGUAUGAAACAUUGUAUGACCCCUUGUAUUAUAUCAAGUCAAACACUUACAUGUGUGUGUUUUCGUCAGGUGUUCGACAGCACGGGCUCCUUCUUGUCCUACAUCAACACAUCAGCCGACCCCCUGUAUGGGCCCCAGGGCCUGGCCCUCACCUCAGACGGACACGUGGCCGUGGCCGACUCUGGAAACCACUGCUUUAAAGUUUACAGAUAUCUGCAGUAAAAGAGAAGCAACACAAACGAUAUUGGACAUUAACAAUACACACACUCAGAGCUGGAACAUCGUUCUGAAAGGUCAGGCCUCAGUUAAACUUCAGUUCUGUCACCUCCAUCAAAGUGAGUACAACUGUGGAUUCAAACAUGGAACCAGAUGUUUCAGCUCCGUGUGCAACAGGACUUUUCCUCAAGGUAAAAUUCAGUCUAUUUUUUUCCCCCACAUACUUCAGUCUGUAACACUUCAGUCGACCAGCAUCGUAUUUUAGCCAAAGAAUCUGAAUCUUCUGGUCUGUUUCUGAUGUCACCUGCUAAUGUGCUUCACAAAAUAAUAAGUCUGGGUUAUAAAAAACAAACUGUGGUUCUCAGACAUCACUGGAGACUAAAAUAAGUAACUUCACAAAAAAAUAUUAACUAAUUUUCUUUGGACAUUUGGCAGCACAAACCUGACCCUUAUAAGCUACUUUAAAAAGCUGCACUGAAGCCAGACUCUGGUCCCAAACUCCCCAGACAGAUUUUGAUCUAAAACCUGAAGGUCGUGAACUCAGAUCAGUCUCAGUGACGACACCAACAGACGACAUACUGUACUGCAUGUCUCUGAUCGAUUCCCUGCAUGAUUCUCUCCAACGCCCACAGUCAGAACUUUGCGCAUGAAAACAUGGAAUGAGGUCACAGCCAUAAAAGGUUGCACUUUUUUAAACGCCUAAAACAGACAUUUGUCAAAUCAUGUUCUGUUUAAGGUCAGAAUGAAAGACAAAACACAAGAGAAAAUCUAACUUCAUUCCCAGAAUUCUCAGAUUGAUAAAAAAUAGUUUUUUGUUCUGAAGAAACUUUUAUGAUCUAGAUAUCAGAAAUCUGCCAAAUUGAAAAAAAUCUGCAAUAAAAAUAGUGAUCAUUAAAUUCUUUGUAAAGAUUCAGACAAUCAAGUACAAAGAAAGGUGGAAUUCUGGGGGAAAAAAGUCAAAAUAUUAACAUCUAGAACUCUUUUUCCCAUCAGCCCUGAGCUUGUUCUGUAUCUAAAAGCACAUCAGUUCUGCUGACAUGACCUUCAGCUACUACUUCCUGCACUUUGAUAUUUACCAGCUCUUGUACAUAGGCCUAAUAUUUAACUGUAAAUAAGGAUUUAAUGUGUAUAAUAUUCCACUCCAUGUCCUACAUAUUCCAGCACACACUGCAGUGAAUGGAGAGGUUUUAACACUGGAGUGUAAACAGUUACAGUAGAGCAUCAUGUGCCAAGGCAGCACGCCAAACAUCACUGGAUCAAAUCACGUCCUGUGUUUGUUAUUAGCUCUAUGAAUAUUUUUAUUUCAAGAUUUAUUAGAAUUUUUUUUAAUAUAAUUUGUUCUACAUAGUUAUUUUUCUAAUUUCAAAGCCUCUCUUUGCCAAACAUGGUUGUACAUAAGCCUUAGCCGUCAGACACUGACAAUGUUCAGCUCAUACCUGUACGUCAGUGCGUUUACAUGUGCAUUUAAAAAAACAAAAAACAAAGACCAAGUCCUCUGAAGGUUGUGCAUUUACAGUCCAGUCCAGUUUAGUCCAGUCCAGGUUUACAGAAACAAGGACAGAAUAGGUUUCUUUAUAGACAUUUGUUUCUUGUUGACAUGUUAGCUAUUAGCGAGUUAGCCACCACAGCAGGAUGAACACAAUCAAUGUGGUGGUGGAUUGGACAGAUAUCGUAACUGCUAGCUUGUCUUUAGCUUGUUGGCUAGUGAAGCAAUUUGGUAACAAUCCAGAAAUGUAGAAAAAUAUUAACUAAAAAUAAAUAAAUAGUAUUGAAAAAAACAGACAGAAAGGUCUCAGGUAAGUCCGUCAGAUAACAGCAGGGUUAGCAAAAUAGCUAAGACAAGAUUUUGUUAUUAAAAAUAUACAGAAAAGAUUAGAAGAUAUCCAAAACCAACAACAAACAUAAUUCUCUUAAAAACACCAAAAACUAGUCCAAGGAUGACUGAUGUUUUUAAAUAAAAAAAGCUUAAAAAUUAGCCAAAUAUAGUAACUAAAUGUUAGCAAAAUAUUUUAAAUAUGUUAUUGUUACAAAAUCAUAUAACUUAUUUCUGCUUACUUUUAGCUUAAUUUGAAAAAAAAAAAACAUUCAAACAAAAACAAAAAAUCAGGGCUACCUUCUGUCUUUUUUUUAAUAUUAUUACAUGAGUUGUACUGUAUGUUAGACCAACAGUGUCAGUUCACUCCAAUAUCAUGUAAAUGCACUGACUCGCUGUUGUACCUGGUUCAUCAAGAUGGCACCAAAAAAAAAAAGAAUUAUACAAUUCAUAUGCAGUACUACUAUACUAUACAUUAUUAUAAUUAAUAUAUGUAUUUAUUUAUAUAAUAUGUGCGUAUUUAGAUGUAUACUGUAUAUAUAAUUAAAUAUGUAGUACAUAUAAAUUAUAUUACAGUUUUAAACUCAGCUGAAAAAAAACCCACCUUCACUGUCACGUUUCCCUGUAGUUUCUUUUGUAGUGUGGUUUUGGACGUUUCCUGUUGUUUGACUCCAACACCAUCUAAAAAAAAAAAGUUUGUCACUGAUUAUUCAUCUGUACUUUAGUCUGACUGCGCCACCUGUUCUAUCAAGAUUUUUUUCAUGAGAAGUUUUCUUUAUUUUUUUCUUCCAGUUCUAUUUAAGAAGCACAUGCAAACGCACCGCUAACCACUAUGAUUGAUUACCUUAUGUACACAGAACUGGAUGUAGAGGACCUGUAACCAAGGCAAAGGUAUUGUUGUAUCUAUUAAAGAAAACAAAAACUCGAGA
This is a long non-coding RNA of Cynoglossus semilaevis (tongue sole), 3094 nucleotides long. RefSeq lists it as uncharacterized. The record is from RefSeq and is a predicted model, not a curated record. Lineage: Eukaryota; Metazoa; Chordata; Actinopteri; Pleuronectiformes; Cynoglossidae. The transcript has 2 exons.